UAGGGCGGGACACGAGGAAUCCUGUCUGAAUCCGGGUCGACCACGAUCCAACCCUAAAUACUAAUACCAGAUCGAUAGUGCACAAGUACCGUGAGGGAAAGGUGAAAAGAACUGAGGUGAUCAGAGUGAAAUAGAACCUGAAACCAUUUGCUUACAAUCAUUCAGAGCACUAUGUAGCAAUACAGUGUGAUGGACUGCCUUUUGCAUAAUGAGCCUGCGAGUUGUGGUGUCUGGCAAGGUUAAGCAAACGCGAAGCCGUAGCGAAAGCGAGUCUGAAUAGGGCGCUUAGUCAGAUGCUGCAGACCCGAAACGAAGUGAUCUAUCCAUGAGCAAGUUGAAGCUAGUGUAAGAACUAGUGGAGGACUGAACCCAUAGGCGUUGAAAAGCCCCGGGAUGACUUGUGGAUAGGGGUGAAAGGCCAAUCAAACUUCGUGAUAGCUGGUUCUCUCCGAAAUAUAUUUAGGUAUAGCGUUGUGUCGUAAUAUAAGGGGGUAGAGCACUGAAUGGGCUAGGGCAUACACCAAUGUACCAAACCCUAUCAAACUCCGAAUACCUUAUAUGUAAUCACAGCAGUCAGGCGGCGAGUGAUAAAAUCCGUCGUCAAGAGGGAAACAACCCAGACUACCAGCUAAGGUCCCUAAAUCUUACUUAAGUGGAAAACGAUGUGAAGUUACUUAAACAACCAGGAGGUUGGCUUAGAAGCAGCCAUCCUUUAAAGAAAGCGUAAUAGCUCACUGGUCUAGUGAUUUUGCGCGGAAAAUAUAACGGGGCUAAAGUAAGUACCGAAGCUGUAGACUUGCACACAACUU
Molecule: ribosomal RNA, 809 nt
Filed under: Campylobacter jejuni
Lineage: Bacteria; Pseudomonadati; Campylobacterota; Epsilonproteobacteria; Campylobacterales; Campylobacteraceae
Description: partial 23S ribosomal RNA
Rfam family: Bacterial large subunit ribosomal RNA
Source: RNAcentral